This 490-nucleotide ribosomal RNA is filed under the name uncultured bacterium. Its description in RNAcentral is "partial 16S ribosomal RNA". It matches the Rfam family "Bacterial small subunit ribosomal RNA", at positions 30 to 507 of the family's 1533-position model. The record is from RNAcentral.
AUUGAACGCUGGCGGCAUGCCUAACACAUGCAAGUCGAACGGUAACAGGAAACAGCUUGCUGUUUCGCUGACGAGGGGCGGGCGUGUGAGAAAUGUGUGGGAAACUGCUUUAUGGAGGGGGAUAACUAGUGAAAACGGUAGCUAAUACCGCAUAACUUCUCAAGACCAAAGAGGGGUAGUGACGGGCGGCUUGCCAGCGGAUGCUCCCAGGUUGUAUUAGCUAGUAGGUGGGGUAACGGCUCACCUAGUCGACGAGCCAUAGCGGGUCUGAGAGGAUGACCGGCCACACUGGAACUGAGACACGGUCCAGACUCCUACGGGAGGCAGCAGUGGGGAAUAUUGCGCAAUGGGCGAAAGCCUGACGCAGCCAUGCCGCGUGUGUGAUGAAGGCCUUCGGAUUGUAAAGUCCUUUCAGCGGGGAGGAAGGGAGUAAAGUUAAUACCUUGACUCAUUGACGUUACCCGCUGAAGAAGCACCGGCUAACUACGUG